ACUGAAAAAGGCAAACCCGAAGUAAUUCGGGGACGCAAAGCCGACGGGUCCCCUGUGCUGACGAAAGUUUCACAGGGAGAUGGCUGGGUUGCCAUAA
This 97-nucleotide non-coding RNA is filed under the name Candidatus Omnitrophota bacterium. RNAcentral describes it as "Omnitrophica bacterium c-di-GMP sequence". It matches the Rfam family "c-di-GMP-I-GGC riboswitch aptamer". Lineage: Bacteria; Pseudomonadati; Candidatus Omnitrophota. The record is from RNAcentral.